UACAGAGGCCUCGAGCGUUAGGCGGAAUCACUGGGCUUAAAGCGUGUGUAGGCGGAUUGGUAAGUACCUUGUGAAAUCCCACAGCUUAACUGUGGAACUGCUCGGUAUACUGCUGAUCUUGAGCCACUCAGGGGCUACCGGAACAAAUGGUGGAGCGGUGAAAUGCGUAGAUAUCAUUUGGAACGCCAAUGGUGAAAACAGGUAGCUGGGGGUGUGCUGACGCUGGAGACACGAAAGCCAGGGGAGCAAACGGG
RNAcentral lists this ribosomal RNA (254 nucleotides) under uncultured bacterium. Its description in RNAcentral is "partial 16S ribosomal RNA". It matches the Rfam family "Bacterial small subunit ribosomal RNA", at positions 524 to 776 of the family's 1533-position model. The record is from RNAcentral.